Molecule: ribosomal RNA, 420 nt
Filed under: uncultured Nitrososphaerota archaeon
Lineage: Archaea; Thermoproteati; Nitrososphaerota
Description: bacterial SSU rRNA
Rfam family: Archaeal small subunit ribosomal RNA
Source: RNAcentral
CAGCCGCCGCGGUAAAACCAGCACCUCGAGUGGUCAGGAGGUUUAUUGGGCCUAAAGCAUCCGUAGCCGGUUGCAUAAGUUUUCGGUUAAAUCUAUGCGCUCAACGUAUAGGCCGCCGAAAAUACUGUGCAGCUAGGGAGUGGGAGAGGUACACGGUACUCAAUAGGAAGGGGUAAAAUCCUUUGAUCUAUUGAUGACCACCUGUGGCGAAGGCGGUGUACCAGAACACGUUCGACGGUGAGGGAUGAAAGCUGGGGGAGCAAACCGGAUUAGAUACCCGGGUAGUCCCAGCUGUAAACGAUGCAGACUCGGUGAUGCAUUGGCUCGUGGCCAAUGCAGUGCCGCAGGGAAGCCGUUAAGUCUGCCGCCUGGGAAGUACGUACGCAAGUAUGAAACUUAAAGGAAUUGGCGGGGGAGCAC